Non-coding RNA from Carica papaya (papaya), 924 nucleotides. The record is from RefSeq and is a predicted model, not a curated record. Lineage: Eukaryota; Viridiplantae; Streptophyta; Magnoliopsida; Brassicales; Caricaceae.
UUUUCAAGAAUAAAUCCAAGAAUCUUCCCAAGCUUCAAUGGCAGCCUACAAAAUUCAUUUCGGCAACGGGAAGUCGAUUAUUCAACAAUUAACCUAAGAACAGAAACAUGUAUUGGGUAAUAACGUCAUCUUCGAGUUUUCAAUCACCAAUUGCGUGAGCAGAACACAGAGCUUUAACGCCAGCAACGAGUUACUAACAGUGGGUGGGAGAUACAAAUUGGAGACCUUUCCUUUCACCACCAAUUUUCAAGGAUCUUCAGAAUUGCGUGAAUUGAUGAAGGCUUACUUGAUUAAGAACCUUGAUUUGCAGAUAGAUUCUAACGGGCAUUUUAAGACUGCCAACGGAGUCGACAUCUUCUUUAAGAUUGCGGGCCAUCUUGGAGAUCAGGAAUUUAAUGUCGUCUCCAUCAACACUUUCAUCUAUUUUCUUGAUACGUACUUAAAGGUUAAGGAGGCAGUACGAGUUUGCUUCUAUGAUGGAGGGGAACUGGUGCAUAGAGUCCCCAAGAGUUUGUCCAUUUUGCGGCAGAGUAAUUUGCCGAUACACAUUUCUCGCUAAGCUGCAAUGCGCGCAUUGUCUUCAUCCUGUGUGCAUGAUUCGGUGGUUCAACAUGAACCGCUGCUGCCCGGCCUAUCGUGUAUGAUGCACAAAUCUGAAGAGCUUAUUACUUGGCAAAAACCACCCAGAGGAUGGCUGAAGGUGAACAUUGAUGGUUUUUAUUUUGCUACAACUAAUCUCUCAUGCUGUGAUGGAUUUAUCAGAGACGAUGAUGGUAUUUGUCUAAGAAGCUUUAGUAGGAAAAUUGGUAGUUAUUCUGUAUUAUAGGUCAAACUUUGGGGAGCCUAUGAUGACCUUCAACUCGCUUGGAAUGUCAGAUUUCGCAACAUCAUCCUUGAAAGGGAUAGCUCUCUAGUUAUGGAAUU